RNAcentral lists this ribosomal RNA (293 nucleotides) under uncultured bacterium. RNAcentral's name for it is "partial 16S ribosomal RNA". The record is from RNAcentral.
GGACUACCCGGGUAUCUAAUCCUGUUUGCUCCCCACGCUUUCGUGUAUCAGCGUCAGUUGCCAGUCCAGCAAGCCGCCUUCGCCACUGGUGUUCUUCCUAAUAUCUACGCAUUUCACCGCUACACUAGGAAUUCCGCUUGCCUCUCCUGUACUCUAGCCAUCCAGUUUCUCAUGCAAUGCCCGGGUUAAGCCCGGGUGUUUCACAUGUGACUUAAUUGGCCGCCUACUCACCCUUUACACCCAGUAAUUCCGGAUAACGCUUGCCCCCUACGUAUUACCGCGGCUGCUGGCAC